AUGUCUGGAAGCAUGGGAGAACGCUCUUCUGCUUAUAUUAUUACCAGUAUUCGAUACUGGGUUAUUCAUAGCAUUACUAUACCUUCCUUAUUCAUUGCGGGUUGGUUAUUCGUCAGCCCGGCUUUCACUUGGAACAACUAUGGAAGUCCUCGGCCAAACGAAUAUUUCACGGAAAGCCGACAAGGGAUUUUCUUAAUAACUGGGCGCUUUGAUUCUUUGGAACAACUCGAUGAAUUUAUACGAUGGUUAGCUGUUCAUGGAUUAGCUGUACUGGAAUGA
This 279-nucleotide ribosomal RNA is filed under the name Triticum aestivum (bread wheat). RNAcentral's name for it is "partial small subunit ribosomal RNA". Lineage: Eukaryota; Viridiplantae; Streptophyta; Magnoliopsida; Poales; Poaceae. The record is from RNAcentral.